This 74-nucleotide transfer RNA is filed under the name Candidatus Ancillula glyptotermitis. Its description in RNAcentral is "tRNA-Arg". It matches the Rfam family "tRNA". Rfam says of the family: Transfer RNA (tRNA) molecules are approximately 80 nucleotides in length. The record is from RNAcentral. Lineage: Bacteria; Bacillati; Actinomycetota; Actinomycetes; Bifidobacteriales; Bifidobacteriaceae.
CCUCUCGUAGUCUCAAUGGAUAGAGCGUUUGAUUCCGGUUCAAAAGGUUGCAGGUUCGACUCCUGUCGGGGGGA